Long non-coding RNA from Epinephelus moara (kelp grouper), 1257 nucleotides. RefSeq lists it as uncharacterized. The transcript is spliced from 3 exons. The record is from RefSeq and is a predicted model, not a curated record. NCBI's taxonomy places the organism in Eukaryota, Metazoa, Chordata, Actinopteri, Perciformes, Serranidae.
AGAGGCUCUCUUCUCCGCUUCAGACGCACCGCACUUCUCCAUCUCUCAAUCCAACACGGUGGCGGCAGCAGCAGCGGAGCGCAGCGGCGGAGCCGGACACACAGCAGCCAGAUGUGAUGAAGAGGAGGACGCAUCAUGCACGGUGCCGACUGACCUGCAAGAUAUCAACAGGUCGACGCAGAGUUCUUUAGCGAGAGGCAAAGCGCUUCCUCGUCCACCUGCGCACUGUGAGUAACUGUCAGCAUGUCGGCCGUCUGCCGCCUCGUUUUUUUCCCUUCUCUACACACUUCAUUGUGUUGUUUCUCUGAUUGGAACCUUUACAGAUGGCCUGCGUGUAUGUAUUGCUGUUUAUUUUUUCCCUGAAUGUUAGACCUUUCUUUGCACGUUCCUCCAUGUGUGAAGUCUGUUACGAUUCUGCAUGCAGGUGUGAAAGCGGGCAUGUACCACGUUGAUCCACUGCCUUGUUAUGUGUACAACUUCACUUGGUUUGUGUGAUUUUUGUGGCCCUUGUAUGCAGUUUCUCACAGUGCAUGUGCGUGUGAUUUGUAGGCGUGUGUGACAUACUUCUUCAAGCAUGAUGUGUGUCUUCUAAGUUUGUUUGUGUGUCCUUCUGUGUCUCAAUAUGUACGUGUGUGUGUGUGUGUGUAUGCAUGUGUGUUUAUAAUCCAAGGCCAUUCAAUAGCACCACAUGGAUCCAUCCCAUAUCCUGGUCACCAUGGUUACCGGGGCCACUUAUCACAGAGGGUCCCGGCAGAUCAAACAGGUGUGCAUCCUGACAAUGUCUCUCCUCGACGACUGUUGCUAGGAACCUUUGUUGCACACAACGCACAGGUGUUUGUUGCCGCUGGUGAAAAACCAGCAGGAGCGCAAAAAACAUUUUCUUGAUGUCCCAGUCUGAACUGGUGUGUGUGUGUGUGUGUGUGUGUGUGUGUUUUCUUGUACUUGUUGUCCUUGUGUGAAACAGUGUAAUUUCGUUCGUCUGAAAGAGGAUGUUCUUUGUAGAAAAGAGGUCAUUUUGUGGGUCAUCACUUUAUCAAGUUGCUACUUCGGGACCUGGAGCUGGGUUUAGGGUUCAGAACAGAAUAGAGGUUGAAAUUUAAAGCCCCUGAAAAUCCAAUUUUAAAUCUUUAGGUUUUCUCUGUAUUAUUAAAGGAGCACUCCAACAAAUAAAUGCAGCAGAGGCCGAAAUAUAAUAAUAUCUUUUAGUCCUUAAUACAAGUUAAGCUUCAAAGACACCAGAUCCUAUGAUUUCAACCC